GUAAGGAGGCCGAGAGUGAAGAUAACAGUGAGGACCCGCGCGGGGGGGGGGGGGGGGGGGGGAAGGGUACAUAAGAGGCGAUCUGACGUAAAGUGAAGUUGCUGGUGAAUGUUGGGUUUGGAUUGUACAAUCUAAACAUUCUGCAACAAAAUACAAUCCGAACGUUGGGAAGGAACUCUAGCCGCCAACGAGCCAUUCAGACCCCCUAAUACGACACCAAACCUACGAAUCAGCGUCCUCCUCCCCUAGGUCUUGCUGAUCAGGCUAAAGUCAGGAUGCGGACACGGCUUCUGUGCAUCAGUUGGACGUUCGGCCAACCCAACUCCCGAAACACAUCUUUAUUACCAUCCAUGGUCCUCGCUGGCUUACAGAGAACUCUCACCAUCCACGGUCCCUGCUAUAGAUCGAAAGUAUGGUCUUCAUUUCACGGAACUAUUUGUUAGGAAGUUUAGAAGGGAAGAAAUUAACAUUACUUAAUAGAGAGGAGCUAGACUCCUAGAAAAUAGCAGGGAAGUUGCUGGUGAAUGUUGGGUUUGGAUUGUACAAUCUAAACAUUUUGCCACAAAAUACAAUCCGAACGUUGGGAAGGUUCGGAUUUUGAAUUUGUGUUUGUUUGUAGUAGAAAUUAGUAUUUGUAGGUUGAAUUUGGUUAUAUUGAAGUAUAUUUGGUGAUUUGAAGCAUCCUUUGAGAACCCCCAAUUUGAGGUUAAGGUUUUUUCA
This is a long non-coding RNA of Malania oleifera, 720 nucleotides long. RefSeq lists it as uncharacterized. Lineage: Eukaryota; Viridiplantae; Streptophyta; Magnoliopsida; Santalales; Ximeniaceae. The record is from RefSeq and is a predicted model, not a curated record. The transcript has 2 exons.